GACGAACGCUGGCGGCGUGCUUAACACAUGCAAGUCGAACGGAAAGGCCCUGCUUGCAGGGUACUCGAGCGGCGAACGGGUGAGUAACACGUGGGUGAUCUGCCCUGCACUUCGGGAUAAGCCUGGGAAACUGGGUCUAAUACCGGAUAUGACCUUCCAUGUAGUGUGGGGGGUGGAAAGAUUUAUCGGUGUGGGAUGAGCCCGCGGCCUAUCAGCUUGUUGGUGGGGUAAUGGCCUACCAAGGCGUCGACGGGUAGCCGGCCUGAGAGGGUGGACGGCCACAUUGGGACUGAGAUACGGCCCAGACUCCUACGGGAGGCAGCAGUGGGGAAUAUUGCACAAUGGGCGGAAGCCUUAUGCAGCGACGCCGCGUGGGGGAUGACGGCCUUCGGGUUGUAAACCUCUUUCGACAGGGACGAAGCUUCGGUGACGGUACCUGUAUAAGAAGCACCGGCUAACUACGUG
This 465-nucleotide ribosomal RNA is filed under the name uncultured bacterium. RNAcentral describes it as "partial 16S ribosomal RNA". It matches the Rfam family "Bacterial small subunit ribosomal RNA", at positions 28 to 507 of the family's 1533-position model. The record is from RNAcentral.